Molecule: unclassified non-coding RNA, 203 nt
Filed under: Hevea brasiliensis (rubber tree)
Lineage: Eukaryota; Viridiplantae; Streptophyta; Magnoliopsida; Malpighiales; Euphorbiaceae
Source: RNAcentral
AUACCACUAACCUCUGAUAGAUAUCUUGACAUUCAUAUUAUCCUCACAUUACAUCUAGAGGCUAAUUAAAGUUGUUGGUAGCCUUGAUUUAGUUUAGUUUGAUUUGUUUCUGUGCUAUAUUGAACCACCAAAUUGAUGAAAUUUUGUUUCUCAUGGGAAUCUAGUUGUACUUGAAACCCACUAUUUUUAUAUGUUAAUCCAAG